UACAGAGGUGGCAAGCGUUGUUCGGAAUUAUUGGGCGUAAAGCGCGUGUAGGCGGCUUGGCAAGUCGGGUGUGAAAGCCCUCGGCUCAACCGAGGAAGUGCGCCCGAAACUGCUAUGGCUUGAGUGCCGGAGAGGGUGGCGGAAUUCCCCAAGUAGAGGUGAAAUUCGUAGAUAUGGGGAGGAACACCGGUGGCGAAGGCGGCCACCUGGACGGCAACUGACGCUGAGACGCGAAAGCGUGGGUAGCAAACAGG
This 254-nucleotide ribosomal RNA is filed under the name uncultured bacterium. RNAcentral's name for it is "partial 16S ribosomal RNA". It matches the Rfam family "Bacterial small subunit ribosomal RNA", at positions 524 to 776 of the family's 1533-position model. The record is from RNAcentral.